RNAcentral lists this ribosomal RNA (326 nucleotides) under uncultured eukaryote. Its description in RNAcentral is "SSU rRNA". It matches the Rfam family "Eukaryotic small subunit ribosomal RNA", at positions 1461 to 1785 of the family's 1831-position model. The record is from RNAcentral.
UCUGUGAUGCCCUUAGACGUUCUGGGCCGCACGCGCGCUACACUGACGGAGCCAGCGAGUUUAUACCUUGGCCGAGAGGUCCGGGAAAUCUUGUGAAACUCCGUCGUGCUGGGGAUAGAGCAUUGUAAUUAUUGCUCUUCAACGAGGAAUUCCUAGUAAGCGCAAGUCAUCAGCUUGCGUUGAUUACGUCCCUGCCCUUUGUACACACCGCCCGUCGCUACUACCGAUUGAAUGGCUUAGUGAGGCUUCCGGAUUGGUUUAAAGAAGGGGGCAACUCCAUCUUGGAACUGAAAAGCUAGUCAAACUUGGUCAUUUAGAGGAAGUAA